CUCAGUAACACGUGGAUAACCUACCCUUGGGACCGGAAUAACCCCGGGAAACUGGGGAUAAUACCGGAUAAGCCAUAGACGCUGGAAUGCCCUAUGGUUCAAAGCUCCGGCGCCUAAGGAUGGAUCUGCGGUCUAUCAGGUUGUAGUGGGUGUAACGUACCUACUAGCCGACGACGGAUACGGGUUGUGAGAGCAAGAGCCCGGAGAUGGAUUCUGAGACACGAAUCCAGGCCCUACGGGGUGCAGCAGGCGCGAACACUUUACAAUGCGGGAAACCGCGAUAAGGGAACCCCGAGUGCCAACAUCAAAUGUUGGCUGUCCAGAUGAUUAAAAAUCAUUUGUUAGCAAGGGCCGGGCAAGACCGGUGCCAGCCGCCGCGGUAACACCGGCGGCCCGAGUGGUAGCCGUUUUUAUUGGGUCUAAAGGGUCCGUAGCCGGCCUGAUAAGUCCUUUGGGAAAUCUGGCAGCUUAACUGUCAGGCUUCUAAGGGAUACUGUCAGGCUUGGGACCGGAAGAGGUAAGGGGUACUCCAGGGGUAGGAGUGAAAUCUUGUAAUCCCUGGGGGACCAUCUGUGGCGAAGGCGCCUUACCAGAACGGGUCCGACGGUGAGGGACGAAAGCUAGGGGAGCAAACCGGAUUAGAUACCCGGGUAGUCCUAGCUGUAAACGAUGCUCGCUAGGUGUCAGACACGGUGCGACCGUGUUUGGUGCCGCAGGGAAGCCGUUAAGCGGGCCACCUGGGAAGUGCGGUCGCAAGGCUGAAACUAAAG
Molecule: ribosomal RNA, 770 nt
Filed under: uncultured archaeon
Lineage: Archaea
Description: bacterial SSU rRNA
Rfam family: Archaeal small subunit ribosomal RNA
Source: RNAcentral